RNAcentral lists this ribosomal RNA (466 nucleotides) under uncultured bacterium. RNAcentral describes it as "bacterial SSU rRNA". It matches the Rfam family "Bacterial small subunit ribosomal RNA", at positions 338 to 795 of the family's 1533-position model. The record is from RNAcentral.
CCUACGGGUGGCUGCAGUCGAGAAUCAUUCGCAAUGGGCGCAAGCCUGACGAUGCGACGCCGCGUGCAGGAUGAAGGUCUUCGGAUUGUAAACUGCUGUGAUGGGGGAGCAAUGUGUCUUGGAUUAACACCCCUUGACAUUGAUAGUACCCCAAGAGGAAGCCACGGCUAACUCUGUGCCAGCAGCCGCGGUAAUACAGAGGUGGCAAGCGUUGUUCGGAUUUACUGGGCGUAAAGGGUGCGUAGGCGGUUUUGUGUGUCGGAUGUGAAAUCCCACGGAUCAUCUGUGGAACUGCAUUCGAAACUGCAGAGCUUGAGUGCAGGAGAGGAAAGUGGAAUUCUCGGUGUAGCGGUGAAAUGCGUUGAUAUCGAGAGGAACGCCGGAGGCGAAGGCGACUUUCUGGACUGCAACUGACGCUGAGGCACGAAAGCUAGGGGAGCAAACAGGAUUAGAUACCCUAGUAGUC